Transfer RNA from Ovis aries (sheep), 72 nucleotides. It matches the Rfam family "tRNA". Rfam says of the family: Transfer RNA (tRNA) molecules are approximately 80 nucleotides in length. Their secondary structure includes four short double-helical elements and three loops (D, anti-codon, and T loops). NCBI's taxonomy places the organism in Eukaryota, Metazoa, Chordata, Mammalia, Artiodactyla, Bovidae. The record is from Rfam.
UUUCUGGUAGCUCAGAUGGUAGAGAACCUGCCUACGAUGCAGGAGACCAGGGUUUGAUCCCUUGGUGGGAAA